Molecule: transfer RNA, 72 nt
Filed under: Camelus bactrianus (Bactrian camel)
Lineage: Eukaryota; Metazoa; Chordata; Mammalia; Artiodactyla; Camelidae
Also listed under: 2 other names
Rfam family: tRNA
About the family: Transfer RNA (tRNA) molecules are approximately 80 nucleotides in length. Their secondary structure includes four short double-helical elements and three loops (D, anti-codon, and T loops). Further hydrogen bonds mediate the characteristic L-shaped molecular structure. tRNAs have two regions of fundamental functional importance: the anti-codon, which is responsible for specific mRNA codon recognition, and the 3' end, to which the tRNAs corresponding amino acid is attached (by aminoacyl-tRNA synthetases). tRNAs cope with the degeneracy of the genetic code in two manners: having more than one tRNA (with a specific anti-codon) for a particular amino acid; and 'wobble' base-pairing, i.e. permitting non-standard base-pairing at the 3rd anti-codon position.
Source: Rfam by way of RNAcentral
GAGGGCAUAGCUCAGUGGUAGAGCGUGUGCUUAGCAUGCACGAGGUCCUGGGUUCAAUCUCCAGUCCUUUCA